GUCUGGUUGGAAAGUCUUAUUUAUUUAUUUAUUUAUUUAUUUAUUUAACGAAACGCGAGUGUAUUUUCUCCUGCCGGGUGCCUCCUCCACGCCGGCCGCUCCGAGCGGAGCAGAGCUCCACGGGAUCCGGAGCUCCAGCCCCGCUCCAGGUGCAGCGUGCGGAGCGGCUCAUAGGUGGCAGAGCAGAACCUGCCGCGCCUCGAUCUGCGCUCUCGGCGCCGCGCAGAGCGGCGCGUUGCGAUGUAUGUGACAGCGCAACAACCUGUUGGAACACCGCGCCGCUCCGCAGCUGGGGAUCCCUCGUGGUUUGUGUGGGCCGACGGCCUCGGCCCCUCUCCCCUGCCGUCAUAACAAGGGUGCAGGGCGAGGUGGGAGCAGAUCUCAGAGCUCACCCAGUUUACAGCCAAGAGGAGUGAAGGGGAGAUGUCCUGCUGAAAUCUGUUUGGCAAGUCAGUAGCAAUGCCGUCUGUAGAACUGAGCUCUUCAGAGUCUUCAUCCUGUGCUGUAUCCACUGAGGUAUCCCCUGCGAGGCCUAAUCAGAAGUGUUGUGCCAUUUAGCAACCGCUGCCGGAACUGGAAUCAUGCUGUCAUGAGUCUCAGAUAACUUACAGGAUCAAGUGAACUGCAUUAUUCAGGAGCAGGCUGCAGUGGCCUUCCUGAGACAGAUACAUGCAAUUGUGAGGAAUCAUUAAAUAACUGUUAACCACACCUGUACAGAGCCUCUGGCAAUGCUGGCUUGUACAGAAACUCAAGAACUGCCAUGUGCCUGACAUCAUACCUUUGGAAGAAAAGAGAAGUCCUGGGUGUUAGCCCAAGACUGGUUCCACAGAAAUAAAUAGGAGGCUUUACUUUCAGUGCAACCUAUGUAUGUGAAUUCUGCUUUCCAGAGAGUGAGUUCUCAGAACUGCUGCCUGAAAUUGUAAAUGCCUACACAUGUUGUCACAUCAAGGGCUUGUCAUCAUCUCAACUCAAAGCAGGUGUUUGCAACACAUGAAGCAAUCACCUGGGAUACACUAGAGAGCUCUACAUGUAUUUGAGCCUGGAUACUGCUCACUCAUUAUCCUUGCUGAUGCAGAAGGUCUGUUUUGUAACAUCUUUCUAUGAAAAGCUAGAACAUCAGUGCUUGCUCCUGGAAAAGGUGAGUUAAUAUAUGUAUGCAUAUACCCUGAUGCUUGCCUUUGCUUAACCAGUAGUAACAAGGAUAUCUUUACUGAUACCGUGAGCCUUCCCAAACUGUUAUUUCCACUGUUACUGAUAUGUUGCUUAACAGAACUAGCUUAAGCUUGCCAUACUGAAUCUUUCGUUGCUUGCGUUGCAUUGAUUGGUUAUCUUUUUCUGUUAACUUUCCAUAUAUAACUUAAUUAUGUUGUGACUAAUAGAAUGUGUUAUCAGAUGCUAUGGCCUUAUUAACUUCAGUGAAGUGUUGUGUGAUGACCUGGACAAUAAGUUGCACGUUUUUUUGUAUUUAACUGUCUCUGUUUUGGAUGAAGAUAACUGCCAGCAUGUGUGAUUGCAACCCUGUUGCCAAAAGAGGUGUGUUUGUUUAUGCCAGUGAGGUGACUGGCUGAUGGUAUAAAUAUAAUGACAUGGUAAUUACUGAUUACAGAUACAAUAAGGAUCAAAUUGUUUUCUAUACAGAAUGCUUUUAUUACACUGGCAGCGUAUCUUUUGUCUUGUCAUGUGAAGAAUGCUAACCAAGAGUAUGGCUCUUCAGAGCUGGAAACUCGAGUAAAAAUAAAAUUAAAUGCUUUAUUUCUGCAAAUAAAUGCAUUCAUCAUUGUGUAUUUGUUACUCACUAGCUAGGAAUGGUGUUCUCAGGCUUCCUAUUAUCCAACAUAACAGGAAUUAUUAAUAAUAGGGAAGUUGAUAAAUAUGCCAACAAUAUCUAGUUUUCUAAUUGUUCUUCCUUAAGUAUCUGACGGUUGAAGCAAACCAUGACUGAUCUCUUAACAAAGAAACUAAAAUGUAUGUACUGAUAGAAGUCAGUCUGUUCAUAGAUGUUUUCAGAUGGAAGUUGGCUUUUAAUAGCGAAUGGUAGCCCAGCGUUUUUCUGCUCUGCGCAGUCAGUACUUGUUACUGAAAGGUGCAUGCUGUGUGACACAACGUGUUGUGACUCCACAGCAAAAUGUUGCAAUACCUAUUGGUCAAAGUAUGUAGUAUUUCAGAGUUAUGCAUAACUGGGGAUUGCAACAGUCGCGAGUAGGAUAUAAGUGUUGGGAGCAUGCAAAAUGUGCUCAGUGUUUCCAUCUCAUUCAUAACUUUGACUCAGCAGUUCCAGCUGAUUAUUAUUAGUUCCUCCAACAAGCCUGGAUUGACCAAUGGAAUAUACCUAAACAUAUUCAAGUGGUUUCAUUAACCUCAGCCUAUGCACAAGUGCCUUUCUAAAUUGGAUUCACUGCACUAAUCGUGGUGCCUGUGCCAUUGUGUAUUGCAUCAAGCAACAAAAUAAGUAAGAAGCAAAGUGGUGAAAAAUGUCAUUUAAACUAGAAGUGAGGCACAUUUCAUUAAAAAGAGAAUAUACACCUUGUUCAUUACAGGAUUUGCUAAUGCUCGCAAGUUCUUCCAGCUCAAUUUAUGCAAAUCAUUAUUUAUGAACAGCUAUUAUCAACAAUACUAAUAACUUCAGUACUAUUAAUAGUAGAGAUCGGGACUAAUUGCCUGUUUUGAAUUGAGUUUUGUAACCUUUCAAUUUUUCUUAGUUUUGUGGCUGCUAAGCAAAGUCAGCCUCACUGGCUGACACACAACUCUGUUUUAUAGAAUGAGAUUCUGCCUUUGGACAGAAGAUUUAAACCAGAAUAAAAAGGUGGCUGAGAGGUUCUGCUUAUGCCAACAAAAAUGACAAAGGAAUAAAGUCUACACAAAUGCAUUCAGCAUGUUUUUCCCAGUCAUAUUAAAUUUGUAAUUUUAGGUAAAGCAUGGAAGGCUCUCUUGAGAGUUCUGUGCUAGAAGUGCUAUGUUAUGGUGAUUCCAAAUUAUGUGAGGGCAUUCUUAUAUUAGUUCUCUUCUGUUUUUCUGAUGGAAAAGAAGCAUUUCAUGAUCUACUGGCCAUUUCUUUACCUUCCUGGCUAUGGAAAAAGAAGAGUAAUAUUGACCUGACUAUACGCAAAAAGUAGAAGGCACGUUUAUGGAAGUGUAGAAAAGGGAAUACUCUGACAUUUUAUGCUGAUAUAUUCAAAAUGGUUCAAGGAUGGCUACAUUGUGAGUUAUUCUGCAGACUCUAUGGGGCCCUUGUUCUGUCUAAUGUGGCAGUGAUGCACCAUGCAUGUGCCCUGUGUAAGACACAUGAAAAAACAUAAGUGUGAAUGAUAGUAAUGGAGAUAAUAUUGCUUCUUAUAAAUAAUAAUUAAUGCUAAUUAAUGUUGACUCUGUAUGCUGUGGCUUGGAUGAAACUCUGGCAGGAACUGGCAGACACGCUGAUAUGAAAUCUCCACCCACAGAGAUCUGCUGAAAGAGCAGUAUCUGGUAUAAGGGGAGCUGCCCUUGUAAGUGCAAAGAAUACAAGUUUUUUUUCUAAUUACUUUUCACAGAGGAACUAGGUUUCCAGCUUUGAAGUCUCUGCACACACUGGUCUCUAGGACUUGCAGACGUGGAACAAAUGCAAGACCAGAUCAUGUUCCUUAUGUCAGCUUAUAAACUGUGUUUCAUGCUAACUGAAAAUAGCACUUGUAAUAUGAUGUUCUCUCAUAAAACCAGCCCUUUCACAUAUGUACCUGUAGAUACCAACACAUUUGUUUGCGACAAGCAGUGCCCUUUCCUGAAUGGGGUGGGGGCAGCUGAGCUGUGCUGCUGUGGCUGUACCAUGAGAUAUGGGAAUGUGUGCUACACAGACUGCCCAUAGGGAGGCUAAUGCCUCUGUACUAGUCCCUGGUAAACCUGUAUCUGCCUGUGUGCGCACAAAUGCAUACUGUUUUCCUCUGCCCCUUCCUCCCACUCAGUGUUGCCUUCCUUUCUGCACUGCCCUCAAGCCAGGAGGUCAGCACUACCACUUCUUUCUGUAUUUUCUUCUCUAGUCAUAGCUUUCUUUUUUUUCUGUUGGGGAUUGUUUGGCUGAUUUAACGUUUUCCUGGAAAGAAAGGGAUAAUGCUUAGAAAAAAUAGGAUGCUUUUUUCUUCUUCCAGGCAAAAUGUGUAGGGGGGACAUUCUUUUUCUUGAGGGAGGAGAUCUUAGCUAGCAGGGAGGGGAUUUCCCCUAACAGAACAAUUUUGCUUAAGCUCCCCUGAGACAAAGGAGUCGUGAGCCUGUGUGUAGUGGGUGUUAUAGAGAAUGUGUGGCUGAAUGACUAGUAUCCAUCAGAGCAUAAUCCAGCUGCCCACAGGGAGAGAAAGAGGUUGUAUGUGGCCUUGGAAAUGAGAUGGAAAUGGGGAGGAGGAAGUGCCCAGGUGUUACUGGCUUGACAAGAAGAGAUGUAGGGUCCCUGAUCACCUGUGUGACCAGCAAGCAUUCUUGCUGAAAGCUGUAGGCUAAGCCAUGUAUAAGAUCAGCUCUGUGACUCCAGCAGCUGCCUGUUAAGAAGUGUAUGCUGCAGGAAAACUUGGCCUAUGGAGCUGUAUUACCUGGCAUUUUGAAGGUAAGAUUCUGUUUUCUUGUUUGUUUGUUUGAUCCCCACUUGGGGAUCAGUUAUAUUUUGAGAUGACUUGACUUGAUACGUAUCUCCUUAGCACACAUGUUGAUUCAACACUUCGAGGAUCGUGUUUCUUUGUGGUACGGAGCUAUUUAUGACAAUAUUUGUGGUAGGCUGAUGACAUCCUUGUGAUCAAGAAGAAUAAGCUGUGUAUUUUUUUUUUUUUGAGAAUGUGUUAAACCAGUUCUGUCAAAAUAGAGGUAACAAAUACCAGUAAUUGUUUCGACAGUUGAAAAGAAGUAAUUCCCCACAAUUUUUGAAAACAUUGUAGGUAAUAAUUUGAAGAUGUAUGGAGACCUAUACUUACCUCUACACUUCUGAAGCUGAACAUAGAAUAUAGUACUUGUUUGAGCCUGGAGUCUGAAAAAUCUUGAUUUUUUUUAAAAACAUUUUUUAUUUUUUUUCAUGGCAUUAAAGAAUGGCUUAGGCUGGGAGGAAGUUUGAAGAUAAUCCACUUCCAUCCUCCUACCACAGGUGGGGACACCUCUCUCUAGAUCAGAUUGCUCAAAACCCCAUCCUACCAGGCCUUGUACACCUCAAGGGAUAGGACAUCCACAACCUCUCUGGGCAGCCUGUAACAGAGCCUCACCGCUCUCACAGUAAUGAACUUCUCCCUACCAUGUAGUCUGAAUCUCCCCUCUUUUAGUAUAAAGCUGUUACUCCUUGUCCUAUCACUACACUGCCUGAUGAAAGAGUCCUUCUCCAGCUUUCUUGUAG
Molecule: long non-coding RNA, 5338 nt
Organism: Gallus gallus (chicken)
Lineage: Eukaryota; Metazoa; Chordata; Aves; Galliformes; Phasianidae
Source: Ensembl